UACGUAGGGGGCUAGCGUUGUCCGGAAUCAUUGGGCGUAAAGCGCGUGUAGGCGGUCCGGUAAGUCCGCUGUGAAAGUCCAGGGCUCAACCCUGGAAAGCCGGUGGAAACUGUCGAGCUCGAGUCCGGAAGAGGCGAGUGGAAUUCCUGGUGUAGCGGUGAAAUGCGCAGAUAUCAGGAGGAACACCAAUGGCGAAGGCAGCUCGCUGGGACGGUACUGACGCUGAGACGCGAAAGCGUGGGGAGCGAACAGG
RNAcentral lists this ribosomal RNA (253 nucleotides) under uncultured bacterium. RNAcentral's name for it is "partial 16S ribosomal RNA". It matches the Rfam family "Bacterial small subunit ribosomal RNA", at positions 524 to 776 of the family's 1533-position model. The record is from RNAcentral.